GGAUGAGCCCGCGGCCUAUCAGCUUGUUGGUGGGGUAAUGGCCUACCAAGGCGGCGACGGGUAGCCGGCCUGAGAGGGUGUACGGCCACAUUGGGACUGAGAUACGGCCCAGACUCCUACGGGAGGCAGCAGUGGGGAAUAUUGCACAAUGGGCGCAAGCCUGAUGCAGCGACGCCGCGUGGGGGAUGAAGGCCUUCGGGUUGUAAACUCCUUUCGCUAGGGACGAAGCUUUGUUGUGACGGUACCUAGAUAAGAAGCACCGGCUAACUACGUGCCAGCAGCCGCGGUAAUACGUAGGGUGCGAGCGUUGUCCGGAAUUACUGGGCGUAAAGGGCUCGUAGGUGGUU
RNAcentral lists this ribosomal RNA (347 nucleotides) under uncultured bacterium. RNAcentral describes it as "bacterial SSU rRNA". It matches the Rfam family "Bacterial small subunit ribosomal RNA", at positions 223 to 580 of the family's 1533-position model. The record is from RNAcentral.